This 683-nucleotide long non-coding RNA is filed under the name Lathyrus oleraceus (garden pea). RNAcentral's name for it is "Pisum sativum (pea) long non-coding RNA (PSAT_LNC016454)". Lineage: Eukaryota; Viridiplantae; Streptophyta; Magnoliopsida; Fabales; Fabaceae. The record is from RNAcentral.
UAACUUUUAUUUAACAUUUAGAUCCAUUCAAACAAACUUUUAUUAACUUUUAAAAGCAUUCUUCAAAACCAAUUCAAAUAUAACUUUCAACACCAAUUCGAUAUAACUUAUAAAUUCAUUUCAAAUCAAUCUUCAACACCAAUUCCAAAUCAACUUUCACAUCCAUUCAAAUGUUUUCCAAUACAAUUCAUACACAUUCAGAAUUUCCAUAUAAAACAAAUCUUAAGCUUUAAUCCAAUAACAUGUUCUACGCAUGGCCCUCCAAUUUCAACAGAACAAUAGAACCCUGCAAUUUUAGACAAAACACACUAAUUAAAGUUCCUUCAUUCAAAACUAUUAAAAACAUGAACCCACGACACAAUUCUUGAACUCUGAGACGAAAAAAGCCCAAAGAUGCGAUCCGGAAACGCGAACAUGAUGCAAAGAACGUGAAUCCAGAACGCGAUGAUGAAACUACUUGAAACGCCGCGCCAUAAUCCAGAACGCGAUGAUGUUGAUGUUUGAGACGCGAUGAUCCAUGAACACGAUGUCGUUGUUGUUGCAGCUUUGGGCUUUUUGGAUAAGCGUUUUUCAGCUUGGUGAUUUUCUAAAUUAGCAUUGAUCCAUGCACAUUGCAUUGAUGUUACUAUUUCCAAUUAUCUCACAUAAAAGAAUUAUCAUAUAACCAAAUAGAACAAAAAUAC